AAACAUGGGGUAAUACCGAAUACGUUCCUGAUACUGUGGUAACGGGAAGAAAAGCGCUUCGGCGCUGCUUGAGGAUGAGCCUGCGGCUGAUUAGUUAGUUGGUGGGGUAACGGCCUACCAAGGCGACGAUCAGUAGCCGGCCUGAGAGGGUGAGCGGCCACACUGGGACUGAGAUACGGCCCAGACUCCUACGGGAGGCAGCAGCUAAGAAUCUUCUACAAUGGACGAAAGUCUGAUAGAGCGACGCCGCGUGGGUGAUGAAGGCCGGAAGGUUGUAAAGCCCUUUUCUAUUCGAGGAAUAACCUCAGGAGGCAAUGCCUGAGGGAUGACGGUAGGGUAGGAAUAAGCCCCGGCCAAUUACGUGCCAGCAGCCGCGGUAACACGUAUGGGGCGAGCGUUGUUCGGAAUCAUUGGGCGUAAAGGGCGCGUAGGCGGAUAUGCAAGCUUGGUGUGAAAGACCGCAGCUCAACUGCGGGAGCGCGCUGAGAAACUGCGUAUCUAGAGUUCAAGAGGGGAAGCUUGGAAUUCCAGGUGUAGGGGUUGAAUCUGUAGAGAUCUGGAAGAACAUCAGUGGCGAAGGCGAGCUUCUGGCUUUGAACUGACGCUGAGGCGCGAAAGCGUUGGGGAGCGAACAGGAUUAGAUACCCCUUGGUUAGUCCACGCUGUAAACCGAUGUGCACUAAGGUGUUGGGCCCGUUGAAGGCCUCAGUGCCGUACCCAACGCGUUAAAGUGCACCGCCUGGGGAGUAUGCUCGGCAAGAGUGAUACUCAAAGGAAUUGACGGGGGCCCGCACAAGCGGUGUAGCAUGUGGUUUAAUUCGAUGAUACGCGAGAAACCUUACCAGGGCUUGACAUAUGCAGGAAUGCGCAUGAGAGUGCGCAGCCCUUCGGGGCCUGCAUACAGGUGCUGCAUGGCUGUCGUCAGCUCGUGCCGUGAGUGUUUGGGUUAAGUCCCGGCAACGAGCGCAACACCUGUUGUCUGUUGCCAGCAUUUCGGAUGGGGACUCAGGCA
This 1012-nucleotide ribosomal RNA is filed under the name uncultured organism. Its description in RNAcentral is "bacterial SSU rRNA". It matches the Rfam family "Bacterial small subunit ribosomal RNA", at positions 154 to 1145 of the family's 1533-position model. The record is from RNAcentral.